This 431-nucleotide ribosomal RNA is filed under the name uncultured bacterium. RNAcentral's name for it is "partial 16S ribosomal RNA". It matches the Rfam family "Bacterial small subunit ribosomal RNA", at positions 29 to 505 of the family's 1533-position model. The record is from RNAcentral.
AACGAACGCUGGCGGCAUGCCUAACACAUGCGAGUCGAACGAGACCUUCGGGUCUAGUGGCGCACGGGUGCGUAACGCGUGGGAACCUGCCCUUAGGUUCGGAAUAACUCCCCGAAAGGGGUGCUAAUACCGGAUAAUGUCUUAGGACCAAAGAUUUAUCGCCUUUGGAUGGGCCCGCGUUGGAUUAGCUAGUUGGUAGGGUAAAAGCCUACCAAGGCGACGAUCCAUAGCUGGUCUGAGAGGAUGAUCAGCCACACUGGGACUGGGACACGGCCCAGACUCCUACGGGAGGCAGCAGUGGUGAAUAUUGGACGAUGGGCGAAAGCCUGAUCCAGCAAUGCCGCGUGAGUGAUGAAGGCCUUAGGGUUGUAAAGCUCUUUUACCCGGGAUGAUAAUGACAGUACCGGGAGAAUAAGCUCCGGCUAACGCCG